RNAcentral lists this transfer RNA (86 nucleotides) under Phycisphaeraceae bacterium. Its description in RNAcentral is "tRNA-Leu". It matches the Rfam family "tRNA". Rfam says of the family: Transfer RNA (tRNA) molecules are approximately 80 nucleotides in length. Their secondary structure includes four short double-helical elements and three loops (D, anti-codon, and T loops). Further hydrogen bonds mediate the characteristic L-shaped molecular structure. tRNAs have two regions of fundamental functional importance: the anti-codon, which is responsible for specific mRNA codon recognition, and the 3' end, to which the tRNAs corresponding amino acid is attached (by aminoacyl-tRNA synthetases). tRNAs cope with the degeneracy of the genetic code in two manners: having more than one tRNA (with a specific anti-codon) for a particular amino acid; and 'wobble' base-pairing, i.e. permitting non-standard base-pairing at the 3rd anti-codon position. Lineage: Bacteria; Pseudomonadati; Planctomycetota; Phycisphaerae; Phycisphaerales; Phycisphaeraceae. The record is from RNAcentral.
GGCCCUGUGGCGGAACUGGCAGACGCAGCGGACUUAAAAUCCGCUUCUCCGUUUGGAGAGUGCGGGUUCGAAUCCCGCCGGGGCCA